AUAGCAAAGAACAGAGGAGCCUGGAGUGCUGCAGUCCAUGGGGUUGCAAAGAGUUGGACAUACCUUAGCAACUGAACAACACCCAGGGAGGUGAGAGAAACCCCUCCCCUCCCCCAACCAUCCAACUUGAGAUGAUUGGAUCUGGAGCCUUGGUUAGGAGCUAUAGGUAAUUACCAUGUCUGAGCAGGACCAGUGAAUAGUAUGAGCUGAGGUAAAGCUUAAUCCUCUCUCUACCCACCAACAAUGAAAAGCUGUUGAACUGUCAAAUAGGGUUUGCAACUUUGAAGUAAAAAUGUUUCCUGCCACAUAUCAUCAAGUUGAACAAGUCCACACCUGUUCAUCUGGUCCUUGGUUAGUAGAAGGAAUGAAAAAGAACUGUGUGCCUUUGAGCUAAGGCAUUUUAAAUACUUAUUACUGUGAUUCACUUUCCAGCGUUCACCUUCAUUGCAGUUUUCCUUUCAUCUUGACACUGUAAGUAAUGCAUGAACCUUCCCUGUGGAACACUGCAGAUCUCAUUUAAAUGGUGAAAACGUCUCCAGCUCAGGCCCAUUUGCUACGCAAGAAAUAGGAGAUGUUUUUGUCAGGUUACAGCCAAAGGAUUCCUUGUAACAUGGGUACCUCUCAUUGGCUUCCAUCACUGUAUUCCUUUAACCAAUGGUUUCUGUUCUUUCAGUUAUCCUAAAAAUGGAUGGAAAAAUAAAUGGCUUCAUAGCAUUGUGCUGGGACUGAGAAAAUUGUUUAUACAUCUCCAUCAAAAACAAAACUUCAAGGACUUCCCUGGUGGUCCAGUGGGUGAGUGGAGAGCACAUAGAUUCAACCAAGGACUGACGACUGUGUUGAAGAGGCAGCUGUUAGCCCAGAGUCCUCCUGUCUCCCUACUGCGCUGGGACCAGACCUCCUCAGCCCAGUCUCAGCUGGUCAGUCAGCGUGGAACAUCUGGCAUAGUUUCCAUGACACUUGACUUGGGCUUCAGUAGGUGGGAUGGAAAAGGUUAGCCAAGGAAUGUUUACUUUUUCCGAUUUCAUGUGGCAGAUAGAAUUACCAUCCCUAAGAUUUCAAAAUGGUAUACUUAUCAAAAUCUGAAAUUAGUCAACAUCUUUGCUCUUUCUCCAGAGAAAGAAAGGUCUGUGAACACCUUAACUACAUCUACUUUCUGUCUGACUUACAUAAUUUUGUUAGGCACAUAUUAUAAUUUUUAAUAAAUGUUAUUCAUUUAAAAAAAUAGUUUAAUGAAGGUGAUUUGACCCCUGCUCAGAGUAGUCUGCUUAGCCUGGAGACCAAGCCCUGCCUUCAUUCUUCAUUAGCUGCCCCGCUGAGUGGCUAACACAGAAGUAGAGGGGGAAUGUCCUUGUCCCUGAGUUCCAGGAAAGGACGUUUUUUUAAAAAGACUUUCUAGAUUGAUGUAUUGGGGCAGAAACGCUAAAACAGACAAUAUUUGAGGUGAAGUUUUCAAUUUUACUCUUUUCAGAAAAGCAGUGUACUGAUAAGAAUCUACUGAGAUACAAGGCCUAGCAGAAAUGACAAGAUGCAGUCACCGUGCUCAUGGCACUUAAACCAGCGGCUCCUGUGGAUAGAACAGAAUCUUAAGAAUGGCCUGCUGAGUGCUGAGCAUGCUUUCACUUGUAAGAAAUUAAACUCAGAAACACUAAACACAAUUCCUUGAUGUGAUUUCCUGUUGGUUCAUCUAUAUACUCUAGAAGAUUCCUGAGGAGAGGUUUAUUGCUCACCGGAAUUUAGUGCAAGAGUCCUCCAACAGUGUUGACUGUUUGCUAAGAGCCCCCUCUCAGAGCCAAAUUAUCCACUUCCCUUUCCCAGUGAGUUUAACGCAGAUCAUACAUUUAUCAAAAAUAUAGAAACAGGGACUUCCCCAGCAGUCCAAUGCUUAAGAAUCUGCCUUCCAAUGCAGGGGACUCAGGUUUGAUCCCUGAUUGGAAAGCGAAGAUCCGACACACAGUGGGGAGACUAAGCCCAAACACUGCUGAGCAAUCCCAAUACAGCCAAAAAUAAAUACAUAUUAAAAAAAAAA
Long non-coding RNA from Bubalus bubalis (water buffalo), 2026 nucleotides. RefSeq lists it as uncharacterized. NCBI's taxonomy places the organism in Eukaryota, Metazoa, Chordata, Mammalia, Artiodactyla, Bovidae. The record is from RefSeq and is a predicted model, not a curated record. The transcript is spliced from 2 exons.